UGGCUUUUGGAAACCAGCUAUAAAAGCCUGCAUGAUCCACAUUUAAAAUCAUACUAUAGGCAAAAAGAUAUCCUGAGGAGAUUAAAGAAAGGCGGCUAUGUCACCAGCAAUAAUAAGGUUGUAUGUACCUUGAAGGAAUUGAAUAAGUACAGGCAGUAUCUCACCAGUUUGAAAUUAGACUUUGAAAGAAACUAUGUAAGAGAACAAAAAAUGAUUGAAAAACAAGUAAAUAAAUUUUAUGAAACCAAGAGAGCCUGUGAGAGUCAUGGCAAUACACAGUUCCAAGACUGGCUGUUACAAGAAAAUAAACAACUCCAGACCAAGAGCUGUUGAUAAAGCAAAGAUAUUUAGAUAUGAUUAGCUUGGAAUUAAACAAGCUUGGACACAUGGCAGAAAAGCAGAACGUACUCAAGAUAAAGGAAGAAGAAAGACGACAUCGGGACCACAUUAGAAGAAAACUUAGUCUCUGGAGACAAAUUGAAGAGGAAUGGAAAACAAAAGAAAUGUUACUUCUGUCAAAGAUUGGAGAAGAAGUAAAAACAGAAGCAAGAUUUGAAGAACAACGUAAAAAAGUCAAAGAAGAUGCUCAC
Long non-coding RNA from Bubalus bubalis (water buffalo), 590 nucleotides. RefSeq lists it as uncharacterized. The record is from RefSeq and is a predicted model, not a curated record. The transcript is spliced from 5 exons. NCBI's taxonomy places the organism in Eukaryota, Metazoa, Chordata, Mammalia, Artiodactyla, Bovidae.